UACGAAGGGGGCUAGCGUUGCUCGGAAUUACUGGGCGUAAAGGGCUCGUAGGCGGCCAACUAAGUCAGACGUGAAAUCCCUCAGCUUAACUGGGGAACUGCGUCUGAUACUGGAUGGCUUGGAUUUGGGAGAGGGAUGCGGAAUUCCAGGUGUAGCGGUGAAAUGCGUAGAUAUCUGGAGGAACACCGGUGGCGAAGGCGGCAUCCUGGACCAAUAUUGACGCUGAGGAGCGAAAGCCAGGGGAGCAAACGGG
This 253-nucleotide ribosomal RNA is filed under the name uncultured bacterium. RNAcentral's name for it is "partial 16S ribosomal RNA". It matches the Rfam family "Bacterial small subunit ribosomal RNA", at positions 524 to 776 of the family's 1533-position model. The record is from RNAcentral.